This 253-nucleotide ribosomal RNA is filed under the name uncultured bacterium. RNAcentral describes it as "partial 16S ribosomal RNA". It matches the Rfam family "Bacterial small subunit ribosomal RNA", at positions 524 to 776 of the family's 1533-position model. The record is from RNAcentral.
UACGGAGGGGGCUAUCGUUGUUCGGAAUUACUGGGCGUAAAGCGCACGUAGGCGGACUGUUAAGUCGGGGGUGAAAUCCCGGGGCUCGACCCCGGAACUGCCUUCGAUACUGGCAGUCUAGAGGACGGCAGAGGCUAGUGGAAUGGCGAGUGUAGAGGUGAAAUUCGUAGAUAUUCGCCAGAACACCAGUGGCGAAGGCGACUGGCUGGGCCCUUUCUGACGCUGAGGUGCGAAAGCGUGGGGAGAAAACAGG